CUGCUCUCCGCCAGAGAACUACAAGUGAAAAACUUCAAACUCAAAGGACUUGACGGUGUCCCAUAUCGACCUAGAGGAGCCUGUCCUAUAAUCGAUACUCCCCGCUCUACCUAACCUCAACUAGCACUCCACAGCCUAUAUACCGCCGUCGACAGUCUACCCCAUGAGGGCCCAACAGUAGACACAAUAGCCCAACCGCUAACACGUCAGGUCAAGGUGUAGCACAUGCUGAGGAAGAGAUUGGCUACAUUUUUUACAUUAAAAAACACGAAAUGCAACAUGAAACCCUGCAUGAAGGUGAAUUUAGUAGUAAGAUCUAAUGAGAGUAUUUAUCUUAACAACGCUCUGGGACGCGCACACACCGCCCGUCA
This 371-nucleotide ribosomal RNA is filed under the name Eremias velox velox. RNAcentral describes it as "partial 12S ribosomal RNA". It matches the Rfam family "Bacterial small subunit ribosomal RNA", at positions 862 to 1399 of the family's 1533-position model. Lineage: Eukaryota; Metazoa; Chordata; Lepidosauria; Squamata; Lacertidae. The record is from RNAcentral.